Non-coding RNA from Ixodes scapularis (black-legged tick), 187 nucleotides. The record is from Rfam. NCBI's taxonomy places the organism in Eukaryota, Metazoa, Arthropoda, Arachnida, Ixodida, Ixodidae.
GUCGCUUCUCUGCCUUUUGGCUAAGAUCAAGUGUACGCGUCUGUUCUUAUCGGCUGAAUAUAUGAUACGGGCCUAAUAGGUCCAAGAUAUUAAACUUAUUUUUUUAAACAGUCUCCCUUCGCAGCUUGCUUCGAGGUCGCCAGGGUUAGCCCGGUAUUGAACUACUUCCGGGAGUGGCUCGUCUUCC